This 90-nucleotide transfer RNA is filed under the name Candidatus Berkelbacteria bacterium. Its description in RNAcentral is "tRNA-Ser". It matches the Rfam family "tRNA". Rfam says of the family: Transfer RNA (tRNA) molecules are approximately 80 nucleotides in length. Their secondary structure includes four short double-helical elements and three loops (D, anti-codon, and T loops). Lineage: Bacteria; Candidatus Berkelbacteria. The record is from RNAcentral.
GGUGGGGUGUCCGAGUGGUUUAUGGAGCUGGUCUUGAAAACCAGUAUACAGGCAACUGUAUCGUGGGUUCGAAUCCCACCCCCACCGCCA